Molecule: ribosomal RNA, 468 nt
Filed under: uncultured bacterium
Lineage: Bacteria
Description: partial 16S ribosomal RNA
Rfam family: Bacterial small subunit ribosomal RNA
Source: RNAcentral
GACGAACGCUGGCGGCGUGCUUAACACAUGCAAGUCGAACGGAAAGGCCCUGCUUUUGUGGGGUGCUCGAGUGGCGAACGGGUGAGUAACACGUGAGUAACCUGCCCUUGACUUUGGGAUAACUUCAGGAAACUGGGGCUAAUACCGGAUAGGAGCUCCUGCUGCAUGGUGGGGGUUGGAAAGUUUCGGCGGUUGGGGAUGGACUCGCGGCUUAUCAGCUUGUUGGUGGGGUAGUGGCUUACCAAGGCUUUGACGGGUAGCCGGCCUGAGAAGGUGACCGGCCACAAUGGGACUGAGAUACGGCCCAGACUCCUACGGGAGGCAGCAGUGGGGAAUAUUGCACAAUGGGCGGAAGCCUGAUGCAGCAACGCCGCGUGCGGGAUGACGGCCUUCGGGUUGUAAACCGCUUUCGCCUGUGACGAAGCGUGAGUGACGGUAAUGGGUAAAGAAGCACCGGCUAACUACGUG